This 253-nucleotide ribosomal RNA is filed under the name uncultured bacterium. Its description in RNAcentral is "partial 16S ribosomal RNA". It matches the Rfam family "Bacterial small subunit ribosomal RNA", at positions 524 to 776 of the family's 1533-position model. The record is from RNAcentral.
UACGUAGGGUGCAAGCGUUGUCCGGAAUUAUUGGGCGUAAAGAGCUCGUAGGCGGUUUGUCGCGUCUGCUGUGAAAACUCGGGGCUCAACUCCGGGCCUGCAUUCGAUACGGGCGGACUAGAGUUCGGUAGGGGAGACUGGAAUUCCUGGUGUAGCGGUGAAAUGCGCAGAUAUCAGGAGGAACACCGGUGGCGAAGGCGGGUCUCUGGGCCGAUACUGACGCUGAGGAGCGAAAGCGUGGGGAGCGAACAGG